This 302-nucleotide ribosomal RNA is filed under the name Alteromonas macleodii. Its description in RNAcentral is "bacterial SSU rRNA". It matches the Rfam family "Bacterial small subunit ribosomal RNA", at positions 425 to 720 of the family's 1533-position model. The record is from RNAcentral. Lineage: Bacteria; Pseudomonadati; Pseudomonadota; Gammaproteobacteria; Alteromonadales; Alteromonadaceae.
GUAAGCACUUUCAGUUGUGAGGAAAAGUUAGUAGUUAAUACCUGCUAGCCGUGACGUUAACAACAGAAGAAGCACCGGCUAACUCCGUGCCAGCAGCCGCGGUAAUACGGAGGGUGCGAGCGUUAAUCGGAAUUACUGGGCGUAAAGCGCACGCAGGCGGUUUGUUAAGCUAGAUGUGAAAGCCCCGGGCUCAACCUGGGAUGGUCAUUUAGAACUGGCAGACUAGAGUCUUGGAGAGGGGAGUGGAAUUCCAGGUGUAGCGGUGAAAUGCGUAGAUAUCUGGAGGAACAUCAGUGGCGAAG